AUCAUCUUGUCGGAGUGCCUAGUCGGUUUAAUAAUACCUACAGGCUGAGACCGUUAACUCGGGUCCGCGGAACCUGAUCAGGCUAAUACCUGGGAAGGGAACAAGAGUAACCGACCU
RNAcentral lists this non-coding RNA (117 nucleotides) under Arsenophonus endosymbiont of Aleurodicus floccissimus. Its description in RNAcentral is "TPP riboswitch aptamer (THI element)". It matches the Rfam family "TPP riboswitch aptamer (THI element)". Rfam says of the family: Vitamin B(1) in its active form thiamin pyrophosphate (TPP) is an essential coenzyme that is synthesised by coupling of pyrimidine and thiazole moieties in bacteria. The previously detected thiamin-regulatory element, thi box was extended, resulting in a new, highly conserved RNA secondary structure, the THI element, which is widely distributed in eubacteria and also occurs in some archaea. Analysis of operon structures identified a large number of new candidate thiamin-regulated genes, mostly transporters, in various prokaryotic organisms. The record is from Rfam by way of RNAcentral. Lineage: Bacteria; Pseudomonadati; Pseudomonadota; Gammaproteobacteria; Enterobacterales; Morganellaceae.